AGAGCUUUCACCUCCACACGUACAGGAAGUACUCCGUGGCUUCUCUUUGGCACAUCCGGGAUGCAGCGUUACCACCCCCGCACUUUUGUGCCAUCGUUCGGUGACCAACGGUUACUUGAGCAGAAGCACUGUGUUGCCACCAACAGUCAACCUUACUACGGAGAUGGUUAUCAAUAGGCAGUCGGUGACUGGACCAAGACAUAAUUCACAGCCCAGGCGGCAUACAACUCAAAUAUUAUGAGGACCCCACAGAGGUUGACAGAAACAUCAGGGAAAAUCCUUGGAUUGUUUUCCCAGGAGAAGGUGGAAGGGAACAGUUCCAGAGGAGCUCACUCGGAACUUCACCAUCACUGGGAAUGGCUGCUGUUCUCCCUCAGGGGAGCACUGACCUUCACCAUGAGCAUCACUUCCUGGCUCCAAUGUGGAUCACUCAGACUGGUGGCACAAAUCCUUCACCCCACUGGCGCAGUUUUUCUGGCUUCCACCCCUGGCUUUGGACCUUCUGGGUGCAGAUCCUUGAUAUUAACAAACAUGAAUUGACGCCAAGGGCUCUAGGCCUCCAGCUGGACUCAUGCAGGACAUUGCAUUGGACUCGAGGCCUUCAGCUGCACUCAUGCGGGACAUUGCUUUAAGACCCAGGCCCUUCGCUAGAUGCUUUGGGUUUCUGGUGUGCAACUAAUCUCUUGUGCUCCUCUGCAUUUGACUUUUUGGGUGAAUAUUAUAAAAUAAUCCUAUAAAUUCUGUGUCCUGUAUUAAAUCUAUUCUUUUGCAAACCUUGACUACAACAACCAUCCACCAACUCAAAGUUGGCUCUACACUUUGCUUCCCUUUAGAACAAGGCAGAGAAGCAGAGGACUAACCAACUCACUUGAUCCUGGGUGAGGACAAUGCACAGAGUAAGGCCAGAGCAACCAGACCCCAUGACAGUUGACACUAAGACCAAUAGUCCACCUGAAGUUCCACUCUGCUGCCUACAUCCAGCAGAAACCAGAUGGCUGAUUGUGUUUUCCAACUCCCAACAGCAGCAACAAGAACAUGUCUUGGCCUCAAAUUUAACCAGAGUAAAUGGACAGGGAUCCUCUAAGAUAGAGAACUACAGAGGACACCAGAUGUGCUGUCACAAUUAUUGUUCAAUCCCCUCACUUUGUUUAGAGCAUGGUUUAUUAUUUCUGCUGCCAGAGAAUUUUCAGGGUGGAGGAGCUGUAAUUCAAGGAAGAUUCAAGCAGCAGAACACACUGGGGUUCUGCCCCCCCCAGGCUUCUGCUCUAGGAAUCAGGACUGCAUCUACUCUGAGGGAGAAAUGAAGUAAGAACUGAUGACUAGUUCUCCCUCUUUGUCUGUAAGUUCUACAUCUUUGGAUUCAACCAACCAUGAGUUGAAAAUGUCUA
RNAcentral lists this long non-coding RNA (1388 nucleotides) under Fukomys damarensis (Damara mole-rat). RNAcentral describes it as "lncRNA (ENSFDAG00000032685.1)". The record is from RNAcentral. Lineage: Eukaryota; Metazoa; Chordata; Mammalia; Rodentia; Bathyergidae.